Molecule: ribosomal RNA, 253 nt
Filed under: uncultured bacterium
Lineage: Bacteria
Description: partial 16S ribosomal RNA
Rfam family: Bacterial small subunit ribosomal RNA
Source: RNAcentral
UACGAAGGGGGCUAGCGUUGUUCGGAAUUACUGGGCGUAAAGCGCAAGUAGGCGGACUGUCAAGUCAGGGGUGAAAUCCCGGGGCUCAACCUCGGAACUGCCUUUGAUACUGUCAGUCUAGAGUCCGGAAGAGGUGGGUGGAAUUCCUAGUGUAGAGGUGAAAUUCGCAGAUAUUAGGAAGAACACCGGUGGCGAAGGCGGCCCACUGGUCCGGUACUGACGCUGAGGUGCGAAAGCGUGGGGAGCAAACAGG